GACGAACGCUGGCGGCGUGCUUAACACAUGCAAGUCGAACGGAAAGGCCCUGCUUUUGUGGGGUGCUCGAGUGGCGAAGGGGUGAGUAACACGUGAGUAACCUGCCCUUGACUUUGGGAUAACUUCAGGAAACUGGUGCUAAUACCGGAUAGGAGCUCCUGCUGCAUGGUGGGGGUUGGAAAGUUUCGGCGGUUGGGGAUGGACUCGCGGCUUAUCAGCUUGUUGGUGGGGUAGUGGCUUACCAAGGCUUUGACGGGUAGCCGGCCUGAGAGGGUGAACGGCCACAUUGGGACUGAGAUACGGCCCAGACUCCUACGGGAGGCAGCAGUGGGGAAUAUUGCACAAUGGGCGGAAGCCUGAUGCAGCAACGCCGCGUGCGGGAUGACGGCCUUCGGGUUGUAAACCGCUUUCGCCUGUGACGAAGCGUGAGUGACGGUAAUGGGUAAAGAAGCACCGGCUAACUACGUG
Molecule: ribosomal RNA, 468 nt
Filed under: uncultured bacterium
Lineage: Bacteria
Description: partial 16S ribosomal RNA
Rfam family: Bacterial small subunit ribosomal RNA
Source: RNAcentral